Prionailurus viverrinus (fishing cat) is the source of this 465-nucleotide long non-coding RNA. RefSeq lists it as uncharacterized. Lineage: Eukaryota; Metazoa; Chordata; Mammalia; Carnivora; Felidae. The record is from RefSeq and is a predicted model, not a curated record. The transcript has 3 exons.
ACUGGGGGAAAGGCCACCGACGCAGCACGGGCUCUUCCUUGAGCCACGGGGGGAAAUGGAGCGAGCGGGACACUGCCGUAAGGAGGGGAGACCUGGACAGGAAUUAAACACACUGUAAACAUGCAGAUUCCAGGCCCCUGCUGCCGAUCCACUGAAUCCAAAUCUCUGGGAUGGGACCAAGGAAUCUGCACCUUUGCACGGCCUGCUAGCCUAGUGUGAUCUGGGAUCUGGCAGAGUGGCAGAGAGGGAAAGGCCUCUAGGAAGAAGCAGUGACCCCUGGGGACACGGCGGCAGCUGGCAUCGUGGAAUCUUGAGAAAUGGGUCUCUUCCAAUAAUGAUAUCAAAGUCCUUCCCGUUGGUUAUCUUAUCGAACAGGCCUGAAUGGUGACGUCCGAUAAACCUGAUUUAAAAUUCUGGAGAAGACGCCUAUCUCCCACAGACAUAAGAAAUACAGGUUUUGAAACA